UAUUCUGUCCCACGGGGAAGGAUGAGAAGCUUCGAAUAAGGUUCGACUCGAGCGAAGCGAGAGAACGUUGCCGCAGGCAACGGCCCGAAGG
RNAcentral lists this small RNA (91 nucleotides) under Klebsiella pneumoniae. Its description in RNAcentral is "partial RtT sRNA". It matches the Rfam family "RtT RNA", at positions 1 to 90 of the family's 130-position model. From Rfam's summary of the family: This family represents a bacterial cis-regulatory element known as RtT RNA. The exact function of RtT is unknown although it is thought that it may be involved in changing the cellular response in relation to amino acid starvation. The record is from RNAcentral. Lineage: Bacteria; Pseudomonadati; Pseudomonadota; Gammaproteobacteria; Enterobacterales; Enterobacteriaceae.